RNAcentral lists this ribosomal RNA (496 nucleotides) under uncultured bacterium. RNAcentral's name for it is "partial 16S ribosomal RNA". It matches the Rfam family "Bacterial small subunit ribosomal RNA", at positions 28 to 506 of the family's 1533-position model. The record is from RNAcentral.
GAUGAACGCUGGCGGCGUGCCUAAUACAUGCAAGUCGAGCGAACGGACGAGAAGCUUGCUUCUCUGAUGUUAGCGGCGGACGGGUGAGUAACACGUGGAUAACCUACCUAUAAGACUGGGAUAACUUCGGGAAACCGGAGCUAAUACCGGAUAAUAUUUUGAACCGCAUGGUUCAAAAGUGAAAGACGGUCUUGCUGUCACUUAUAGAUGGAUCCGCGCUGCAUUAGCUAGUUGGUAAGGUAACGGCUUACCAAGGCAACGAUGCAUAGCCGACCUGAGAGGGGGAUCGGCACAACUGGAACUGAGACACGGCCCAGACCCCAACGGGGGGCAGAAGGAGGGAACUUGCCGCAAGGGGCGAAAGCCUUACGGAGCAACGCCGGGUGGGGGAUGAAGGUCUUGGGAUCGUAAAACUUUUUUAUUAGGGAAAAAAAAAUGGGUAAGUAACUGUGCACAUCUUGCCGGUACCAAAUAAAAAAGCCACGGCUAACUACGU